This is an RNA transcript of Sander lucioperca (pikeperch), 1580 nucleotides long. It is a transcript of the gene named lysophosphatidic acid receptor 2-like, with no coding region annotated. The transcript is spliced from 6 exons. Lineage: Eukaryota; Metazoa; Chordata; Actinopteri; Perciformes; Percidae. The record is from RefSeq and is a predicted model, not a curated record.
UAACAACCAAGUUUGUGCGAAGAAAAGAAAACUAUUUUUGUCGCAUUUUUUUCCACGUUGUGCUCAGAGGCCGCUGAAAGUGUGCAAGAGAAGGUGACUUCAGGUAGCCUACGACAGCACGUUGUUUCUGAACUCGACGAGGACUCUUGACCUGGAUUUACCUGAUAAACGAGUUCACAGACACAAUAAAAGGUUGAAGACCAGUGGAGUCCCAGACAGCCGUACAGUGAAGGCCUCAGACUUCAGACUGGAUCCCUCCAGUCCUCCAUCUGUCCAGCUGAUGGCAUGCUGAUCUCCAUCCCACCAGAGAGGGCGAGUCUGAAUGGCGACCUAGACCUUCCCCUGUGCUUCUUCUCCUCUCUGUCCUCUCCAGCUCUUCUCUGAUCCCACAUCCACGGUCUAUCUCAACAUGGAUAUACUCACCGAUGACAUCGAGGGAUGCUACUACAACCGGACCGUCGAUUUUUUCUAUGAGAAGAGUGGCAAGAACAUCAGCGACCACUGGCGCAGCCGUGACUAUGCGAUUGUCAGUCUGGGCAUGACGGUCUGCUUCAUUGUCAUCUUUUCCAACCUUUUGGUCAUGGGCGCCAUUUUUAAAAACAGACGCUUUCACUAUCCCAUCUAUUACCUGCUGGGUAACCUGGCUCUGGCUGACCUCUUCGCCGGUGUCUCCUACCUCCACUUGAUGUUUCAUACCGGUCCGUGGACCAUUAAGCUGUCUAAGUAUCAGUGGUUUGUGCGACAGGGACUGAUCGACACCAGCCUGAUAGCUUCCGUCCUCAACCUCAUGGCUGUGGCCUUGGAGCGUCACCAAACCAUCUUCAACAUGCAGCUGCACAGUAAGAUGAGCACCCGUUGUGUUUUUAUCAUCAUAAUGUGCAUCUGGCUGGUGGCCAUCGUCAUGGGACUGGUUCCCACCAUGGGCUGGCACUGCCUGUGCGACCUGGAGAACUGCUCCACCAUGGCGCCGAUGUUCAGCCGCAGCUACCUGGUGUUCUGGGGGGUUCUUAACCUGCUGACCUUCUUCAUCAUGGUGGCUGUCUACACCCGGAUCUUUGUCUACGUGAAACGCACGAACAAGCAGAUGUCAAAGCACACCACUCAGAUGAGACACAAAGAGACAGUGUUCAACCUGAUGAAGACUGUCUCCAUGAUCCUGGGCUGUUUUGUGUUCUGCUGGACGCCCGGCCUGGUCAUUCUGCUGCUCGACGGUAUGGGCUGUGACGCGUGUGAGGUGCUGCGCUUCGAGAAGUACUUCUUGGUCCUGGCCGAGUGCAACUCCUUCUUCAACCCCAUCAUCUACUCCUUCAGGGACACUGACAUGAGAAGGACCUUCAAGGAGAUCCUGUGCUGCAAGAUAGGUCCCAUGGACCGAAGUAGAAGGGCGUGACUUCGGCUGUCUAUGCCAUGUGUAGUUCCACUUGUUCGUGACCUCCUACUUCUGAAUCGAUCCACAACGCUCUUCCCCAGCAACCAUCAAGACCUAGCAACCGAGCAGCGCCACUUCCUCCAAAACCCUCGCAGCCUCCCCCAUCCUCGCUCCCCUCCCUGCCUCCAUCCUCCUCACCCAAGCUUCAACC